UACGGGGGGGGCAAGCGUUGUUCGGAAUUACUGGGCGUAAAGGGCUCGUAGGCGGCCAACUAAGUCGGAAGUGAAAUCCCCAGGCUUAACCUGGGAACUGCAUCCGAUACUGGAUGGCUUGAAUCCGGGAGAGGGAUGCAGAAUUCCAGGUGUAGCGGUGAAAUGCGUAGAUAUCUGGAGGAAUACCGGUGGCGAAGGCGGCAUCCUGGACCGGCAUUGACGCUGAGUGAGCGAAAGCUAGGGGAGCAAACGGG
RNAcentral lists this ribosomal RNA (254 nucleotides) under uncultured bacterium. Its description in RNAcentral is "partial 16S ribosomal RNA". It matches the Rfam family "Bacterial small subunit ribosomal RNA", at positions 524 to 776 of the family's 1533-position model. The record is from RNAcentral.